RNAcentral lists this ribosomal RNA (447 nucleotides) under uncultured bacterium. RNAcentral describes it as "partial 16S ribosomal RNA". It matches the Rfam family "Bacterial small subunit ribosomal RNA", at positions 29 to 523 of the family's 1533-position model. The record is from RNAcentral.
AACGAACGCUGGCGGCAGGCCUAACACAUGCAAGUCGAGCGCGUAGCAAUACGAGCGGCGCACGGGAUAGUAACGCGUGGGAACCUACCUUUCGGUUCGGAAUAACAUCGGGAAACUGGUGCUAAUACCGGAUACGCCCUUCGGGGGAAACAUUUAUUGCCGAUAGAUGGGCCCGCGUUGGAUUAGCUAGUUGGUGAGGUAACGGCUAACCAAGGCAACGAUCCAUAGCUGGUCUGAGAGGAUGAUCAGCAUCACUGGGACUGAGACACGGCCCAGACUCCUUCGGGAGGGAGCAGUGGGGAAUAUUGAACAAUGGGCGCGACCCUGCUCCAGCCAUGCCGCGUGACUGAUGAAGGCCUCCGGGUUGUACAGUUCUUUUGGUGCGCACCCUGAUGACGGUACCCACAGAAUAAGCGCCCGCUAACUUCGUGCCAGCCGCCGCAGUAA